AUUGAACGCUGGCGGCAUGCCUUACACAUGCAAGUCGAACGGCAGCACGGGUGCUUGCACCUGGUGGCGAGUGGCGAACGGGUGAGUAAUACAUCGGAACAUGUCCUGUAGUGGGGGAUAGCCCGGCGAAAGCCGGAUUAAUACCGCAUACGAUCUACGGAUGAAAGCGGGGGACCUUCGGGCCUCGCGCUAUAGGGUUGGCCGAUGGCUGAUUAGCUAGUUGGUGGGGUAAAGGCCUACCAAGGCGACGAUCAGUAGCUGGUCUGAGAGGACGACCAGCCACACUGGGACUGAGACACGGCCCAGACUCCUACGGGGGGCAGCAGUGGGGAAUUUUGGACAAUGGGCGAAAGCCUGAUCCAGCAAUGCCGCGUGUGUGAAGAAAGCCUUCGGGUUGUAAAGCACUUUUGUCCGGAAAGAAAUCCUUGGCCCUAAUACGGUCGGGGGAUGACGGUACCGGAAGAAUAAGCACCGGCUAACUACGUG
This 486-nucleotide ribosomal RNA is filed under the name uncultured bacterium. RNAcentral describes it as "partial 16S ribosomal RNA". It matches the Rfam family "Bacterial small subunit ribosomal RNA", at positions 30 to 507 of the family's 1533-position model. The record is from RNAcentral.